CCUACGGGUGGCAGCAGUGGGGAAUAUUGCACAAUGGGGGAAACCCUGAUGCAGCGACGCCGCGUGAGUGAAGAAGUAUUUCGGUAUGUAAAGCUCUAUCAGCAGGGAAGAAAAAAGACGGUACCUGACUAAGAAGCCCCGGCUAACUACGUGCCAGCAGCCGCGGUAAGACGUAGGGGGCAAGCGUUAUCCGGAUUUACUGGGUGGAAAGGGAGCGUAGACGGUAUGGCAAGUCUGAAGUGAAAGCCCAGGGCUUAACCCUGGGACUGCUUUGGAAACUGUUAGACUAGAGUGCUGGAGAGGUAAGUGGAAUUCCUAGUGUAGCGGUGAAAUGCGUAGAUAUUAGGAGGAACACCAGUGGCGAAGGCGGCUUACUGGACAGUAACUGACGUUGAGGCUCGAAAGCGUGGGGAGCAAACAGGAUUAGAUACCCGAGUAGUC
RNAcentral lists this ribosomal RNA (441 nucleotides) under uncultured bacterium. Its description in RNAcentral is "partial 16S ribosomal RNA". It matches the Rfam family "Bacterial small subunit ribosomal RNA", at positions 338 to 795 of the family's 1533-position model. The record is from RNAcentral.